Molecule: ribosomal RNA, 503 nt
Filed under: uncultured bacterium
Lineage: Bacteria
Description: bacterial SSU rRNA
Rfam family: Bacterial small subunit ribosomal RNA
Source: RNAcentral
AGAGUUUGAUCAUGGCUCAGAUUGAACGCUGGCGGAAUGCUUUACACAUGCAAGUCGAACGGCAGCACGGGGCAACCUGGUGGCGAGUGGCGAACGGGUGAGUAAUACAUCGGAACGUGCCCAAUCGUGGGGGAUAACGUAGCGAAAGUUACGCUAAUACCGCAUACGAUCUACGGAUGAAAGCGGGGGAUCGCAAGACCUCGCGCGAAUGGAGCGGCCGAUGUCAGAUUAGGUAGUUGGUGGGGUAAAGGCUCACCAAGCCAACGAUCUGUAGCUGGUCUGAGAGGACGACCAGCCACACUGGAACUGAGACACGGUCCAGACUCCUACGGGAGGCAGCAGGUGGGGUAAUUUUGGACAAUGGGGGCAACCCUGAUCCAGCCAUGCCGCGUGAGUGAAGAAGGCCUUCGGGUUGUAAAGCUCUUUCGGUGGGAAGAAAUUGCUUCGGUUAAUACCUGGAGUAGAUGACGGUACCCGCAUAAGAAGCACCGGCUAACUACGUG